GAUUUCUGGCUUGAUACAUUUUGCCGGCCACGGUUUCGUGUGUUAGUGCUUUAUGUUCUGGCCAUCCUUCCAAUCGCUGCUCACUUUUCUUCAUUGAUUGGUGAGUGGUAUUGGAUCUUUUACUUUGAAAAAAUUAGAGUGUUUCAAGCAGGCUUACUUGCUUUGAAUACAUUAGCAUGGAAUAAUAAUUUAGGGCUUCGGUUCUAUUUUGUUGGUUUCUAGGACUGAAGUAAUGAUUGAUAGGGAUAGUUGGGGGUGCUAGUAUUCAGCGGCCAGAGGUGAAAUUCUCGGAUUCGCUGAAGACUAACUUAUGCGAAAGCAUU
Molecule: ribosomal RNA, 323 nt
Filed under: uncultured Sandonidae
Lineage: Eukaryota; Cercozoa; Glissomonadida; Viridiraptoridae
Description: SSU rRNA
Rfam family: Eukaryotic small subunit ribosomal RNA (bases 112-323)
Source: RNAcentral